This 720-nucleotide ribosomal RNA is filed under the name Trichorhina tomentosa. RNAcentral's name for it is "eukaryotic LSU rRNA". It matches the Rfam family "Eukaryotic large subunit ribosomal RNA", at positions 87 to 653 of the family's 3401-position model. Lineage: Eukaryota; Metazoa; Arthropoda; Malacostraca; Isopoda; Platyarthridae. The record is from RNAcentral.
GGGCGACUGAAAGGGAUGAGCCCAGCGCGUAGCCUGCAGGCCCGCCCCACUAGAUGGGACCCGGGUCUGCGAGGGAUGCCGCGUAUGGGAGGGAUCAAGGGGGAGCUAGGCUCGACCUGAAUUAUAUAUUGAAUGUUGUCUCAAUGCCCACAGAGGGUGUAAGGCCCGUAAGGUCGGCGCUUAGCGUCUCUCGCUGGUUCCUCUCGAGAGUCGGGUUGCUUGAAAGUGCAGCCCUAAGUAGGUGGUAAACUCCAUCUAAGGCUAAAUACUCCCACGAGACCGAUAGCCUACAAGUACCGCGAGGGAAAGUUGAAAAGAACUCUGAAGAGAGAGUUCAAGAGAGCGUGAAACUACCACGAGGCUAAAGCGAGUGAGCGUUCGUGUCCCGUCGGCUGGACUCAACCUAUCCCGGACGAAGGCGGCGGAGGGUCGCAAUACGUAUGAGACGGAUCUCCCGCGAGUGACCCCGGAAUUUUCGGGCCUCGAGGGUUGACCGGCGUUUUCUCCGUGCGCACGAAAGGGGGAUGUACUUCCGGCAGAAUUGGGGCGUCGCGGCCGUUCGAGAGGUGUCGAAGACAAGAGGGUCUGGGAAACCGCUUUUUUCUCGCGAUUCGUCGCGGGAUGGGCGGGGCCGCUUCUUUGAUCUGACGGCCUUUCGGACGGUGAAAUCAUGGCUAAAGCGAGCCUGCGAUCGGCUCUGGCGCCCUCUCCCUCCUCUCC